CAAGUGCCAUAGUAACUGAUGGCACCUUGACGGUACCUAACCAGAAAGCCACGGCUAACUACGUGCCAGCAGCCGCGGUAAUACGUAGGUGGCAAGCGUUGUCCGGAAUUAUUGGGCGUAAAGCGCUCGCAGGCGGUUCUUUAAGUCUGAUGUGAAAUCUUACGGCUCAACCGUAAACGUGCAUUGGAAACUGGGGAACUUGAGUGCAGAAGAGGAGAGUGGAAUUCCACGUGUAGCGGUGAAAUGCGUAGAGAUGUGGAGGAACACCAGUGGCGAAGGCGACUCUCUGGUCUGUAACUGACGCUGAGGAGCGAAAGCGUGGGGAGCGAACAGGAUUAGAUACCCUGGUAGUCCACGCCGUAAACGAUGAGUGCUAGGUGUUAGGGGGUUUCCGCCCCUUAGUGCUGAAGUUAACGCAUUAAGCACUCCGCCUGGGGAGUACGGCCGCAAGGCUGAAACUCAAAAGAAUUGACGGGGGCCCGCACAAGCGGUGGAGCAUGUGGUUUAAUUCGAAGCAACGCGAAGAACCUUACCAGGUCUUGACAUCCUCUGAACACUCUAGAGAUAGAGUUUUCCCUUCGGGGACAGAGUGACAGGUGGUGCAUGGUUGUCGUCAGCUCGUGUCGUGAGAUGUUGGGUUAAGUCCCGCAACGAGCGCAACCCUUGAUCUUAGUUGCCAG
RNAcentral lists this ribosomal RNA (680 nucleotides) under Oceanobacillus kimchii. RNAcentral describes it as "bacterial SSU rRNA". It matches the Rfam family "Bacterial small subunit ribosomal RNA", at positions 450 to 1121 of the family's 1533-position model. The record is from RNAcentral. Lineage: Bacteria; Bacillati; Bacillota; Bacilli; Caryophanales; Bacillaceae.